ACACAAGCACCACAGGGGAGGAUCUGCAGCAAAGGGCCCACCGGAAAUCAAACCUUGGCCGCCAUGAUGACGACAUGUGGCACUUGAGUGUGAAUCUAGCCUUUUCAUUUUGAUUUACAACAUUAGCAUUGAAAAGAGCAAAAGUUGAUGCUUGAGAUGAUUUUGUUUUUACUGAAGAGGAUGUACGUCUUCCCUUUGUCCUUUAUCCCCUUACUCUUUCUUUUUAGGUGUGAUUACGACUACCAGCAUGAACCUCAACACCUUCUUUGCUGUUCCACUAGUGUGACCCAUGAUUGUACAAGUUGUCAAGGAUAAACGGGAAGAGAAUCAUGUCAGCCCACAGACAACCGGUUGACCUGUUAGUCUUCAAGCAGUAAUGAUGACUACUCCUGCCUUAAGUUCCAGUUUCCUGAACAUCAUGUCGGCAUGAGAUUCUGUCCCCACCUGUCUUCAGUCUGGACCCAUGAGGUUUUUUUUUUAACAGUGCGUUUACAGUCACAUGGUUUUUUUCGAGGCUUUGUCUGAGUUUCAGUGCUGCAGUUAUUUACCAUUCAGGGUUGUUCAGAAACAUCCAAUUUGUCAUUCUCAUUUGAAGGGCUUGCUGCUGUGAUUCUUUUGUGUACACCAGGAUUUCUUUGUAUUUUGGCAUUUUACACAAAUGUUUUUGAAAGAUGGUCAACAAAGUUGCACAAAUAAAUGUUUAACUGCU
Molecule: long non-coding RNA, 709 nt
Organism: Pseudoliparis swirei
Lineage: Eukaryota; Metazoa; Chordata; Actinopteri; Perciformes; Liparidae
Exons: 2
Source: RefSeq, a predicted model, not a curated record